Molecule: non-coding RNA, 293 nt
Organism: Prunus mume (Japanese apricot)
Lineage: Eukaryota; Viridiplantae; Streptophyta; Magnoliopsida; Rosales; Rosaceae
Source: RefSeq, a predicted model, not a curated record
GAAUCAGGCAUUCGGGCACCAGUUGACCCGCAGGAGGGACCUUCCAAAGGUCCAGCGAGCUCGGACCAACCGCUGUAGACGUGCAUCCGAGAGCCACCACAGGGCAUUCCCCGCUUCCCGUUCUUCCCCAUUUUGAUGUAGGGUUCCUUGGUUCACAACGGUUAUCUCCUUUGUAAUUAAACCUGUAUAGAUGCUCUGAAAUUGCCCUGGAACAUCUUUAACUGUUGGAACUUACUUACUUUUGUAUACUGGCAGUUGGUGUAUAUAUUUAGGUACUUGUUGACAGGUGUAAA